Molecule: ribosomal RNA, 657 nt
Filed under: uncultured bacterium
Lineage: Bacteria
Description: bacterial SSU rRNA
Rfam family: Bacterial small subunit ribosomal RNA (bases 1-549)
Source: RNAcentral
CCUACGGGAGGCAGCAGUGGGGAAUUUUGGGCAAUGGGCGAAAGCCUGAUCCAGCAAUGCCGCGUGAGUGAAGAAGGCCUUCGGGUUGUAAAGCUCUUUUGUCAGGGAAGAAACGGUGAGAGCUAAUAUCUCUUGCUAAUGACGGUACCUGAAGAAUAAGCACCGGCUAACUACGUGCCAGCAGCCGCGGUAAUACGUAGGGUGCAAGCGUUAAUCGGAAUUACUGGGCGUAAAGCGUGCGCAGGCGGUUUUGUAAGUCUGUCGUGAAAUCCCCGGGCUCAACCUGGGAAUUGCGAUGGAGACUGCAAGGCUAGAAUCUGGCAGAGGGGGGUAGAAUUCCACGUGUAGCAGUGAAAUGCGUAGAGAUGUGGAGGAACACCGAUGGCGAAGGCAGCCCCCUGGGUCAAGAUUGACGCUCAUGCACGAAAGCGUGGGGAGCAAAACGAGGAUUAGACUACCCGUGGUACGUCCACGCCCUAAACGAUGUACUACUAGUUGUUCGGGUUUUAAUUACUUGGUAACGCAGCUAACGCGUGAAGUACGACCGCCGUGGGGGUACGGGUACGGUCGGUAACGUAAGUAAAGUUAAACGUUAAACGUAAAGUUAAAGUUAGGUACGGCGNGAGACGCGACGACGGACGACGACGGAGGAGGAGG